CAGAAGUUAGUUUAGCGGGAAAAACACCGGCCAUUAUUAUUUGUGGAUUGUAAAAUUCACACACAGCGAUAUUACACAAGGGUAAGCCGGAGACGUGGGUUCGAUUCCUACACUUCUGA
RNAcentral lists this transfer RNA (119 nucleotides) under Aeriscardovia sp. RNAcentral describes it as "tRNA-OTHER". It matches the Rfam family "tRNA". From Rfam's summary of the family: Transfer RNA (tRNA) molecules are approximately 80 nucleotides in length. Lineage: Bacteria; Bacillati; Actinomycetota; Actinomycetes; Bifidobacteriales; Bifidobacteriaceae. The record is from RNAcentral.